GGACUUUUAGUAUAAGAAAGUAUGUUUAAUUGCAAAUUAAAUGGUUUGGGGGUCUU
Molecule: transfer RNA, 56 nt
Filed under: Pingus sinensis
Lineage: Eukaryota; Metazoa; Nematoda; Chromadorea; Rhabditida; Quimperiidae
Description: tRNA-Cys
Source: RNAcentral